RNAcentral lists this unclassified non-coding RNA (337 nucleotides) under soil metagenome. Its description in RNAcentral is "partial contains 5.8S ribosomal RNA, internal transcribed spacer 2, and large subunit ribosomal RNA". The stretch from base 1 to 120 matches the Rfam family "5.8S ribosomal RNA", at positions 35 to 154 of the family's 154-position model. The record is from RNAcentral.
GAUGAAGAACGUAGCGAAAUGCGAUAAGUAAUGCGAAUUGCAGAUCUCCGUGAGUCAUUGAAUCUUUGAACGCACAUUGCGCCCGCCAGUAUUCUGGCGGGCAUGCCUGUUCGAGCGUCAUUUUCACCAUCAAGCUCUGCUUGUGUUGGGGUCCUGCGGCUGCCCGCAGGCCCUGAAACCCAGUGGCGGGCUCGCUAGUCACACCGAGCGCAGUAGCACAUCUCGCUCAGGGCGUGCGGCGGGUUCUUGCCGUAAAACAACCCCCCCUUUUCACCAAGGUUGACCUCGGAUCAGGUAGGAAUACCCGCUGAACUUAAGCAUAUCAAUAAGCGGAGGA